Molecule: long non-coding RNA, 240 nt
Filed under: Panax ginseng (ginseng)
Lineage: Eukaryota; Viridiplantae; Streptophyta; Magnoliopsida; Apiales; Araliaceae
Description: long non-coding RNA (PGIN_LNC004226)
Source: RNAcentral
GCUACAGGCUGCAAUCCCAGUUUGCCUCCAAAAGGAACAGUGGCCAAUCAAAUGCUAUCAUCGAAUUAAGUGAUGAUGAGUCUGUAUCCCCAGGAGAAAGUGCUGAAGAUGGAGCCAACAGUGAAGAAGAAAAGUCUGAGGAAAUACUUGCUGAAGAAGGUUCUGAUAAUGAAACUCAGCUAGAAGGAUUUUCUGUUGAAGAUGCUGAAGAACGUUCUGAUAAUGAAAUGUAGCUAGAGG